AGAGUUUGAUCAUGGCUCAGGAUAAACGCUGGCGGCGUGCCUAACACAUGCAAGUCGAACGCCUUGAGUAAUCAAGGAGUGGCGGACGGGUGAGUAACACGUGGGUUAUCGACCCUUUAGUGAGGAAUACCGGCGAGAAAUCGCCGACAAUACCGCAUACGCUUCUUUCGGGAAGCAAAGCUCGCAAGGGCGCUAGAGGA
Molecule: ribosomal RNA, 200 nt
Filed under: uncultured bacterium
Lineage: Bacteria
Description: partial 16S ribosomal RNA
Rfam family: Bacterial small subunit ribosomal RNA
Source: RNAcentral